This 688-nucleotide ribosomal RNA is filed under the name uncultured bacterium. RNAcentral's name for it is "bacterial SSU rRNA". It matches the Rfam family "Bacterial small subunit ribosomal RNA", at positions 53 to 740 of the family's 1533-position model. The record is from RNAcentral.
ACAUGCAAGUCGAGGGGCAGCAUAAACUAGCAAUAGUUUGAUGGCGACCGGCGCACGGGUGAGUAACACGUAUCCAACCUUCCCUUUACCCGGGGAUAGCCUUUCGAAAGAAAGAUUAAUACCCGAUGGCAUAACAGUUGCGCAUGCUUCUGUUAUUAAAGGAUUCCGGUAACGGAUGGGGAUGCGCUCCAUUAGCUUGUUGGUAAGGUAACGGCUUACCAAGGCUCCGAUGGAUAGGGGUUCUGAGAGGAAGGUCCCCCACACUGGUACUGAGACACGGACCAGACUCCUACGGGAGGCAGCAGUGAGGAAUAUUGGUCAAUGGGCGAGAGCCUGAACCAGCCAAGUAGCGUGGAGGAUGACGGCCCUACGGGUUGUAAACUCCUUUUGCAGGGGAAUAACGGCAGCCACGUGUGGCUGCGUGCAUGUACCUUGCGAAUAAGGAUCGGCUAACUCCGUGCCAGCAGCCGCGGUAAUACGGAGGAUCCGAGCGUUAUCCGGAUUUAUUGGGUUUAAAGGGUGCGUAGGCGGACGUUUAAGUCAGCUGUGAAGUUCGGUGCUCAACGCCGGAAUUGCAGUUGAUACUGUAUGUCUUGAGUGCACAGAGGCAGGCGGAAUUCGUCGUGUAGCGUGAAAUGCUUAGAUAUCACGAAGACUCCUAUUGCGAUGCAGACUGCUGGGGUGUUAC